GAAUACCCAAAGGUCAUCCGGAAGAACCCUUCUUCCGAAAAGUUUCCGGAUGAACUACUUCUUCUAGUUCUUCCGGAAAGUUCUUCCGGAAUACCCAAAGGUCAUCCGGAAGAACCCUUCUUCCGAAAAGUUUCCGGAUGAACCCUUCUUCCGGAAAUUUUCCGGAACAACUUCUUCCGGAAGUUCUAGAAGAAGCCUUCACGGUUCUUCCAGAAAACGCCACCGUAACCGAGCUUUCCCCAUUUUUUCCAGCGUCUUCUACCCUAAGGUUUAACUAUCCUAGCCUUAAUACUACAACUAUACUGCAUAAUAAAAGCAAUGGGAAGUUAGGGACACCUACCUCGAAGGCAAAUCACGUCUGAUCCAACGAGAAGAAGCAGCCGGGCUCGCGGAGAAGAAGAGGCACGAGGCUUGUGGGGAAGAAGAAAAGAAGCAGCGCAAAGAAGAACAAAAGUGGUUCUUCCGAAGGAGGAGCAGCUUUUUAAAUUUUUAAAUGAAGGGCAAAAUGGCCCAUUCAAUAAAUUGCUGGGUGCACCUAGCAUGUCCCUAUAUGUUCGGUCUAUAUUCAAUCUAAAUGCCAGCCCAACUAGCCCAUUGUGUAGUGUAAAAAUCUCAUGGGUUAUUUUUCCUACAC
This 634-nucleotide long non-coding RNA is filed under the name Glycine max (soybean). Its description in RNAcentral is "long non-coding RNA (GMAX_LNC001497)". Lineage: Eukaryota; Viridiplantae; Streptophyta; Magnoliopsida; Fabales; Fabaceae. The record is from RNAcentral.